This 402-nucleotide ribosomal RNA is filed under the name uncultured Pseudomonas sp. RNAcentral describes it as "bacterial SSU rRNA". It matches the Rfam family "Bacterial small subunit ribosomal RNA", at positions 983 to 1382 of the family's 1533-position model. The record is from RNAcentral. Lineage: Bacteria; Pseudomonadati; Pseudomonadota; Gammaproteobacteria; Pseudomonadales; Pseudomonadaceae.
GACAUGCAGAGAGCUUUCCAGAGAUGGAUUGGUGCCUUCGGGAACGUCUGACACAGGUGCUGCAUGGCUGUCGUCAGCCCCGUGUCGUGAGAUGUUGGGUUAAGUCCCGUAACGAGCGCAACCCUUGUCCUUAGUUACCAGCACGUUAUGGUGGGCACUCUAAGGAGACUGCCGGUGACAAACCGGAGGAAGGUGGGGAUGACGUCAAGUCAUCAUGGCCCUUACGGCCUGGGCUACACACGUGCUACAAUGGUCGGUACAAAGGGUUGCCAAGCCGCGAGGUGGAGCUAAUCCCAUAAAACCGAUCGUAGUCCGGAUCGCAGUCUGCAACUCGACUGCGUGAAGUCGGAAUCGCUAGUAAUCGUGAAUCAGAAUGUCACGGUGAAUACGUUCCCGGGCCUU